RNAcentral lists this ribosomal RNA (283 nucleotides) under Bathycoccus prasinos. RNAcentral's name for it is "partial Bacterial small subunit ribosomal RNA". It matches the Rfam family "Bacterial small subunit ribosomal RNA", at positions 289 to 589 of the family's 1533-position model. Lineage: Eukaryota; Viridiplantae; Chlorophyta; Mamiellophyceae; Mamiellales; Bathycoccaceae. The record is from RNAcentral.
GGUCUGAGAGGAUGAUCAGCCACACUGGGACUGAGACACGGCCCAGACUCCUACGGGAGGCAGCAGUGGGGAAUCUUAGACAAUGGGCGCAAGCCUGAUCUAGCCAUGCCGCGUGAGUGAUGAAGGCCUUAGGGUCGUAAAGCUCUUUCGCCUGUGAAGAUAAUGACUGUAGCAGGUAAAGAAACCCCGGCUAACUCCGUGCCAGCAGCCGCGGUAAUACGGAGGGGGUUAGCGUUGUUCGGAAUUACUGGGCGUAAAGCGCACGUAGGCGGACCAGAAAGUA